AGUCCUCGUGUGUAUUUUAGGAGAUGCGUGGGUGUGGAACAGCCUCCUGCCUCCGGUCCAGGUGUACUGGGGUCUGUGUGUUGUGUUUCUGCGUGUUCUCGGCAGUGAUUCAUCAGAAACUGGCAUGCUGUCCCGCCUGGGUGAUUUGCUCUUUUACACUAUUGCUGAAGGACAGGAACGAAUCCCUAUCCACAAGUUCACCACUGCACUAAAGGCCACUGGACUGCAGACAUCAGAUCCUCGGCUCCGAGACUGCAUGAGCGAGAUGCACCGCGUGGUCCAAGAGUCCAGUAGUGGUGGCCUCUUGGACCGAGAUCUCUUCCGAAAGUGAGGGCCCCAGAAACAAGGGCACUGCUCUCUGAAAACUGUCCUGUGGACAUAGACUCUCAGAGCAGGGAGGAAUUUGGGAAUUGUAUAGUUCAAUUCCUCAUUUUAUUACUUAUUACAUAAGUUAUACAUGAAUACUCAUCAUAAGAGUUCAAACAAUAUAGAAAUACAUGUUCUCCUUU
RNAcentral lists this small RNA (509 nucleotides) under Pan troglodytes (chimpanzee). RNAcentral describes it as "retained intron". Lineage: Eukaryota; Metazoa; Chordata; Mammalia; Primates; Hominidae. The record is from RNAcentral.